Molecule: long non-coding RNA, 864 nt
Filed under: Homo sapiens (human)
Lineage: Eukaryota; Metazoa; Chordata; Mammalia; Primates; Hominidae
Description: long intergenic non-protein coding RNA 882
Source: RNAcentral
UACAUGAGCUCUCUCUUGCUUGCCACCAGGUAGCUGUCCCUUUGCUCUUCAUUUGUCUUCCACCAUGAUUGGGAGGCCUCCCCUGCCAUGUGGAACUGAGGAUGCAGCAUUCAAGGUUCUAUCUUGGAAGCAGAGACUGUGCCCUCACCAGAUGCUGAACCUGCUGAGCACCCUGAUCUUCCACUUCACCUUCAUCAGAACUACUGGGGCUGUGGCUGAGAUGUCACAUGGCAGAUAGGAUCACAAAUUUCUGUUGUAUCUGGAUGGAGAUCAGCAGGAGGAUCUAUGGGUGAGAAGAAGCACAGUUACAGAUGGAUUCUAGAGCCUGCUUGCUGACACAGGCUUGCAACUGCGGACUUUAUAAGCUUAGUUUUUAAUCUGCUAUCAGCUAGCAUAAUACCAUAAAUGCAUAAGAAACUAAGUAUUCAGUCUUACGAGAAAUGCUAUCUUGACCUGACCCUUUCUCCAAAUAAAUUGACAAAAUAUCUCAUCGUCUAGGAUGCCAGACAGAAAUACCAGUUGCAAUGUUUUGUUGCAUAAAGUUUAUCCUAAUUUAAAUUAGUGGCAUAUAAAGUCAUCAUCUUGCUUGAACAAACAUCUUAUUAAAUUGAGCAUGUCUUUUAUCCCAUGAAAUGAAAUUAAUUUUGAGAUAGUUAUUUUUCAGUUGGAAAUUUAUUGAGUUGAUAGAAAACAAGUUAUAUAGUCUUCCAAAGAAUAUGUUACAUCCAUUUGCAUUUUGUUUUUCUUCAGCAAUGUUUGGUUUUUAGAAAAUCUUACAAGUUAAAUAUACUAAUGUAGAAAUUGAAAGAAAAUAAUCAGAGAUAGAGCAAUAAAUUUGCAAAUAAAGAUUAUUCUUAAAACAAA